UGUAAGCGUAUACCAAAGUUGUUGCAGUUAAAACGCUCGUAGUCGGAAUUUGGCAGUUCCGGAUGUGUGCACGUCGUGUGCGCACUUCGCGGGGAUUGCUUUUGUGGUCUUGCGUAGGAUGAGGCACUUUUAUUAGUGAACGUCCUCACGCAACCACUUUUUACUGCGAGAAAAUCAGAGUGCUCAAAGCAGGCAUUUGCCGUGAAUGUAUUAGCAUGGAAUAAUAGAAUAGGACUUGGUUCUAUUUUGUUGGUUUGUUGGGACUGAGUAAUGAUUAAGAGGGACAGUUGGGGGCAUUUGUAUUUCGGUGCUAGAGGUGAAAUUCUUAGAUUACCGAAAGACAAACUGCUGCGAAAGCGUCUGCCAAGGAUGUUUUCAUUGA
Molecule: ribosomal RNA, 382 nt
Filed under: uncultured eukaryote
Lineage: Eukaryota
Description: partial 18S ribosomal RNA
Rfam family: Eukaryotic small subunit ribosomal RNA
Source: RNAcentral